RNAcentral lists this long non-coding RNA (911 nucleotides) under Musa acuminata (dwarf banana). RNAcentral describes it as "long non-coding RNA (MACU_LNC006791)". Lineage: Eukaryota; Viridiplantae; Streptophyta; Magnoliopsida; Zingiberales; Musaceae. The record is from RNAcentral.
AUACUUCUCUCAGUUGGAUGUUCAUUGUGUGUGUUGAUCCGAACAACUCUGCUCGUAAAAGCUGGCCUUUUGACAUCUCAAAAUUUUUUCCAAAAGAUGCUCCACUCUACCCUUCGUGCUCCAAUGUCUUUCUUUGACUCAACACCAUCUGGGAGGAUAUUAAGCAGGGUCAGUACUUAGUUUAAUCUCUCAUUUAUGCAGUUUAAAUUAUUAUUCAUGUAAAUCCUGAAUUGUAAAUACUUGUGUAGUUUUGCGAUUAAAACUAAUUGUUUCUUAUUACGAAUUAUCUCUAGGCCUCUAUGGAUCAAAGUGUGCUCGACUUAGAUUUACCUUGGAGAUUAGGUUGGUGUGCAUUCUCAAUUAUACAGAUUCUGGGGACUAUUGCAGUCAUGUCACAGGUUGCUUGGCCAGUUUUUGCAAUAUUAAUUCCAGUGACAGCAAUAUGUAUAUGGUAUCAAGUAAGAACACUCACUCACUCAAAAAUUACUUGGAAAAAUAUUGAAGAUUUGUUGUCAAUAUCAGAGACUGUCCACAUAGAAAUUCUUGAAUUUUGAAAGAAAAAAUUUGACUGUUUUUUUUCUUUUUCCUUAAACUGUAGUUCCCAUGAUUUGCUUGUCUGCCAGUAUAGAUGAUAUUAUAAACAUAAAAGGAUAUAUCUAUUGAAAUAUGCUUAACCCUAGUUAGAUAUUCAGUUAUAAUGAAAGAUUUAAAUCAUUUUGGCAAUUUGAAGACUGAACUUUUGACAAUGACUAAUGCAGCAAUACUACAUACCUACUGCUAGAGAAUUGGCUCGUUUGUCAGAAAUCCAAAAAGCUCCGAUCCUUCAUCAUUUUGUAGAAUCACUCUCUGGUGCUGUAACUAUUCGAGCAUUUGGGCAGAAAGACCGUUUCAGCAAUACAAACCUCAGCCUC